GGAUUAGAUACCCUGGUAGUCCAUGCCGUAAACGAUGUCAACUAGCCGUUGGGGACCUUGAGUCCUUAGUGGCGCAGCUAACGCGAUAAGUUGACCGCCUGGGGAGUACGGUCGCAAGACUAAAACUCAAAUGAAUUGACGGGGGCCCGCACAAGCGGUGGAGCAUGUGGUUUAAUUCGAUGCAACGCGAAGAACCUUACCUAGCCUUGACAUGUCUGGAAUCUUGUAGAGAUACGAGAGUGCCUUCGGGAAUCAGAACACAGGUGCUGCAUGGCUGUCGUCAGCUCGUGCCG
Molecule: ribosomal RNA, 293 nt
Filed under: uncultured bacterium
Lineage: Bacteria
Description: partial 16S ribosomal RNA
Rfam family: Bacterial small subunit ribosomal RNA
Source: RNAcentral